RNAcentral lists this ribosomal RNA (415 nucleotides) under uncultured bacterium. RNAcentral's name for it is "bacterial SSU rRNA". It matches the Rfam family "Bacterial small subunit ribosomal RNA", at positions 355 to 787 of the family's 1533-position model. The record is from RNAcentral.
UGGGGAAUUUUGCGCAAUGGGCGAAAGCCUGACGCAGCAACGCCGCGUGCGGGAUGACGGCCUUCGGGUUGUAACCGCAUUUCAGUGGGAAAGAUAAUGACGGUACCCACAGAAGAAGCUCCGGCUAACUACGUGCCAGCAGCCGCGGUAAUACGUAGGGAGCAAGCGUUAUCCGGAUUUAUUGGGCGUAAAGCGCGCGUAGGCGGCUUGUUAAGCAAGAUCUUAAGCCUGGGGGCUCAACCUUCAGUUGGAUUUUGAACUGGCAGGCUCGAGUUUGGUAGAGGAAAGUGGAAUUCCCAGUGUAGCGGUGAAACUGCGCAGAUAUUGGGAAGAACACCGAUGGCGAAGGCAGCUUACUGGACGGUAACUGACGUUGAGGCUCGAAAGCGUGGGGAGCAAACAGGAUUAGAUACCC